This 1100-nucleotide unclassified non-coding RNA is filed under the name Nosopsyllus barbarus. Its description in RNAcentral is "sequence contains ITS1". Lineage: Eukaryota; Metazoa; Arthropoda; Insecta; Siphonaptera; Ceratophyllidae. The record is from RNAcentral.
AACGUAUCAUAUAUAAUAUGAACGAUUAUAAGUGUCGUCUGCGGACGACACAAACAAAAACAUGGAGGCAUGCAGCGAUGGACGGAUAUCUCAUUGAUUCCGACCGGAGUGUGCCGAACGUCGCCCUGCGCAAACGCGUACGGGCUAGCUUACGCUACGGCGUAUAAUAAAAUGGUGCGCUCCAGUGUUUCGCGUACGUAGUUUUGUGUUCGAACUAUUACACAUCGCUUCGGUGAUUUGUAAAUUUGUGUGCGCCGUUCGACAUGCAUUAUCUACUUGUGUGCACAGGCAGAAUAACAACGCCUCGGCGUUUCAUAAUCAAUAAUAUGGUAAUACAAACAUUACCAAGGUUACAAAACCACUAAAGUUCGCCCAGCACGACACCGUGUGCGCAACCCGACGCAUGCACUUGUGUACGGGAUGUUGCAUACCGCCCAGGCGGUAUUGUCGACUAGAGAGGUGUACGUGCAAAUGGGAACGCGUGCGCAAAGCGCAUAGCAAAAAUUGUAAGAAAUAUAUAAAUAUAUACUGCUACGUAUCAUCCGAUGCGUGAGCGAAUUAUGGAGUUCGCGUAAAAACGUUCUGCCAUUCACGUGUGACACUCAUUGUGCACACACGACGUCGGAGUCCGUGCGAUAAUAAUAAUUUUCGUGCGAUCAAAACACUCUGACACUGCUGACUGAUUCUCUUCGCGGAAACAGACUGCGAUCAAUGGACUUUCGGGUAACACCGUGGUCUUAAAUUACUCGAACGUUCCGUUACGGGGGGGCUUCACAUAAGGUGGACACCCCGGGCGAUCGUUCCAAUUAUGUCUUUACCGUGCGGGACCAACGUCGGUAAAAUUAUGACACUAUGGAACUUUCGUUUGUGCGCCGCGCUCGAUUCAUAUGAAUCGUGUCGCUAUCGGGACGUUUGAACCACACAACAAAUACAUACCUCCAAUAUCGCAAACGAUCCAUUAGCUCUUGAAGCUUUUGGUGUUGUACUAAUUGUAACUAUCAAACCAUACAUAUAAUCCGCGCCGGUAUGUCUUCGGACGCACACCGGACGGGACUUGUAUAAAUUUAUAACCACCCUGAACGGUGGAUCACUUGGCUCGU